AGUACUUUCAUCAGUGAAGACCCAAUUGCUAACCCCACCAUGCACUAGAAAGAUCAUUAUGUGGGGACACAGGUGCUUAUUAUGACCAACGAACAGUCAUUUUCAAAUUAUCAUGUACAUGGAUGGACAAACUAUGUUCACUGGAUGGCUAUAUAUCAACACUCCCAUGUACAUGAACAGCCUUGCCCUAGGAAUUUUGCCCUGAAGUAACAGUUUUCAGUCCAUUGUGUCCUUUCUCUUAACAACCCUGACAGCCAGGAUAGUAGCUGAUUACAUGUACUUAACAGAAAAUGAUCAUGUCUUAGACAAGUCAAAGAAAUUCCUCCAGUCUUUCAGAGAAAUGACAGUUGAUGAAAGAAUGGUGGCCACAAAGUAAAAGUGCUCUGGUCUUCAACAUUUUGUGGAAGAUUAAAUCAGUCUGAUUUGGAAUUCAGCUUGCAAUAUUUCUGGAUUUGUAUAUUUGUAUAAAAACAUAACUUUUUCAACUUAUUGACUAAACAGUUUUGCAUUAGAUAUUGCCAAUGCCAUCUAUUAUUAUUUUUUUUCCUCCAAGAUGACAUGUCAAGUCUUUAUUGUACCCCUUAAACACCCAAUUUUAUGUUAACGCCCACAAAAUCUACCCAAUUCAAGAUCAAUAGUAUACCGCCUGUCAAUCAUUAAAAAAACAAUAGCUUCUGAUUUGAUUGACGGGCCAGUUACAUGGGCUACCUGAUAAUCUGAGU
Molecule: long non-coding RNA, 722 nt
Organism: Saccostrea echinata
Lineage: Eukaryota; Metazoa; Mollusca; Bivalvia; Ostreida; Ostreidae
Exons: 3
Source: RefSeq, a predicted model, not a curated record